RNAcentral lists this unclassified non-coding RNA (243 nucleotides) under uncultured fungus. RNAcentral describes it as "partial contains 5.8S ribosomal RNA, internal transcribed spacer 2, and large subunit ribosomal RNA". The stretch from base 1 to 52 matches the Rfam family "5.8S ribosomal RNA", at positions 103 to 154 of the family's 154-position model. Lineage: Eukaryota; Fungi. The record is from RNAcentral.
AACGCACAUUGCGCCCGCCAGUAUUCUGGCGGGCAUGCCUGUUCGAGCGUCAUUUCAACCAUCAAGCCCCAGGCUUGUGUUGGGGGCCUGCAGCUGCUGCAGCCCCCUAAAAGCAGUGGCGGACUCGCUGUCAUUCCGAGCGCAGUAGUUACAUCUCGCUCUGGGCAUGGCGGCGGGCACCUGCCGUGAAACACUCUUUCUAAGGUUGACCUCGGAUCAGGUAGGAAUACCCGCUGAACUUAA